This 211-nucleotide ribosomal RNA is filed under the name Enterococcus faecium. Its description in RNAcentral is "partial 16S ribosomal RNA". It matches the Rfam family "Bacterial small subunit ribosomal RNA", at positions 1034 to 1245 of the family's 1533-position model. Lineage: Bacteria; Bacillati; Bacillota; Bacilli; Lactobacillales; Enterococcaceae. The record is from RNAcentral.
ACAGGUGGUGCAUGGUUGUCGUCAGCUCGUGUCGUGAGAUGUUGGGUUAAGUCCCGCAACGAGCGCAACCCUUAUUGUUAGUUGCCAUCAUUNAGUUGGGCACUCUAGCAAGACUGCCGGUGACAAACCGGAGGAAGGUGGGGAUGACGUCAAAUCAUCAUGCCCCUUAUGACCUGGGCUACACACGUGCUACGAAUGGGAAGUACAACGA